Molecule: long non-coding RNA, 1167 nt
Filed under: Nicotiana benthamiana
Lineage: Eukaryota; Viridiplantae; Streptophyta; Magnoliopsida; Solanales; Solanaceae
Description: long non-coding RNA (NBEN_LNC037797)
Source: RNAcentral
CGACUUUUGCUAGAAAAACUUAAAAAUCACAAUACAGAAAUUUACUUGAAGUUGUAUGUUUUAAAAUGUGAUAACAAAUUAUUCUUUAUCUCCUCUGACAUAGUUCAAUGUGUAAACUGUAAGAUAUACUAAUAAGAGCUUAUGAAUGCACAGUGCUAAAAUAUAAAGAGUAAAUUAUCAUGUGCUUUAUUUCACGAACUUAUGUAGCACUAAAUUUACACAUCCCUUGAAAAUCAAUAGAUAACUGGUCAUAUUUUGUGCAUUUAUGAUGAAACCCACAAAGUAGAAAAUAUACUUUUAUAUCAGAAUUCAACUGGAAAUAAGUAUAAAGGUAACUGCCCCUCAUUCUUGUAACAAACGAAAAAAUCUUCUAUCAUGUGUAGAAAUACUUAUACAAAAAUUGAACGCAGAUAAACAAACAUAAGUAACUUAAUCUCAAACCAAAUUGGGAUAGCACAAUUUGUAAUCAUCUAUUCAUAAAUGAUACUAGAGUAAUACUUCUGUAAUAGCACAAUUCAUUAACUAAUUCAUUACUCUUGAAGUUUAUAAUCGAAUCCCACACAAUGGCACAUUUAGCCGAUUCCCCUUUUACAAUCAAUCAUCAGUAGCUUAAUCUCAAACCAAAUUAGGAUCAACCGUAACAAUUUUGCAUUAUUUCUAUUUGGGCUUAUUCAUUCCAAUAUCAAAAUAAUUUUCCCCAAAUCAAUUGAAAAGGGGUUAAGAAUUUUGAUUCACAGUAUAUGGGAAGAUGGACAGAUUAUAGAUACUUGAGACGAACCCUAGUAGAGGCAACAGAACCCUAGUUUUUUUUUUAUUUGAAAAUUAGAAGAAAAUCCAGCAGAACCCUAGCUUUUUUUUAUUUGGGAAUUGGAAGAAAAAGUUUGUGUUUAAAGUUGGAAAGCUUCUAUUCUUUGUUUAUUAGAAAGAAACAUGUUAUGUUGAGAGGUAAGUGACGAAAAUGUUGUCGUUCAGUUGAUUUGUGAAAAAAUAUAUUUAAAAAACGAAAUAAAAACUGGUUUAAUGGAGAAUCGAACCGACACCUUUUUCCAGCGAACCCACAGUCCGUACUAUUGAACCCAAACUCUUUUGUUAGUGGGUUCAGCAUUAUAUAUUUAUAUAAAUAUAGUGAAUUUUUCAAUACAAAUACAAAGUUUCGAAAAAAAGUCA